This 497-nucleotide ribosomal RNA is filed under the name uncultured bacterium. RNAcentral describes it as "partial 16S ribosomal RNA". It matches the Rfam family "Bacterial small subunit ribosomal RNA", at positions 28 to 507 of the family's 1533-position model. The record is from RNAcentral.
GAUGAACGCUGGCGGCGGGCCUAAUACAUGCAAGUCGAGCGAACAGACGAGGAACUUGCUCCUCUGACGUUAGCGGCGGACGGGUGAGUAACACGUGGAUAACCUACCUAUAAGACUGGGAUAACUUCGGGAAACCGCAGCUAAUACCGGACAAUAUAUUGAACCGCAUGGCUCAAUAGUGAAAGACGGUUUUGCUGUCACUUAUAGAUGGAUCCGCGCCGCAUUAGCUAGUGGGAAAGGUAACGGCUUACAAAGGCAACGAUGCGUAGCCGCUCAGAGAGGGUGACCGGCCACUCUAGACUUCAGCUCUGGUCCAAGCGCCUAGGCGAGCCAGCAGUCGGCAGUAUCCUGCGCAGGGCGAAGUGCUGACGGAGCAAAGCCGCGUGAGUGAUAAAGGUCUUCGGAUCGCACAGCUCUGUUACUGGGGACGAACAAAUGUGUAAGUCACUAUGCACGCCUUGACGGUACCCCCUCGGAGAGCAACGGCUAGCUACGUG